AAAAGUGUAGUUAAAUAAUAACAAAGUCAUGUCAAGACUCAAUUGCAACAAGCCUCUUUUU
RNAcentral lists this transfer RNA (61 nucleotides) under Opiliones sp. MT-2014. Its description in RNAcentral is "tRNA-Asp". Lineage: Eukaryota; Metazoa; Arthropoda; Arachnida; Opiliones. The record is from RNAcentral.